CCUACGGGGCGCUGCAGUGGGGAAUAUUGGACAAUGGGCGAAAGCCUGAUCCAGCCAUGCCGCGUGUGUGAAGAAGGCCUUCGGGUUGUAAAGCACUUUCAGUGGGGAAGAAAGCCUUGGGGCUAAUACCCUCGAGGAAGGACAUCACCCACAGAAGAAGCACCGGCUAACUCCGUGCCAGCAGCCGCGGUAAUACGGAGGGUGCGAGCGUUAAUCGGAAUUACUGGGCGGAAAGCGCGCGUAGGCGGUCUGAUAAGCCGGUUGUGAAAGCCCCGGGCUCAACCUGGGAACGGCAUCCGGAACUGUCAGGCUAGAGUGCAGGAGAGGAAGGUAGAAUUCCCGGUGUAGCGGUGAAAUGCGUAGAGAUCGGGAGGAAUACCAGUGGCGAAGGCGGCCUUCUGGACUGACACUGACGCUGAGGUGCGAAAGCGUGGGUAGCAAACAGGAUUAGAUACCCGAGUAGUC
RNAcentral lists this ribosomal RNA (465 nucleotides) under Vreelandella stevensii. Its description in RNAcentral is "partial 16S ribosomal RNA". It matches the Rfam family "Bacterial small subunit ribosomal RNA", at positions 338 to 795 of the family's 1533-position model. The record is from RNAcentral. Lineage: Bacteria; Pseudomonadati; Pseudomonadota; Gammaproteobacteria; Oceanospirillales; Halomonadaceae.